This is a long non-coding RNA of Musca vetustissima, 432 nucleotides long. RefSeq lists it as uncharacterized. Lineage: Eukaryota; Metazoa; Arthropoda; Insecta; Diptera; Muscidae. The transcript has 3 exons. The record is from RefSeq and is a predicted model, not a curated record.
UGCCUAAAAUAAGGAGGGGAAGCUGGAAAUGGGUAAGCUAUCUCAAAGAUUACUGUGCCAACUGUACAUUGGCAGGCUUUAGCUACAUUGCCAAUCAAAAUCUGCACUUGAUUGAACGGAUUUUUUGGCUGAUAUGUGUCGUAUUCUCCACUAUGGGUUCUUAUUUACUGAUCAGUCAGUAUCAAAGGGACUUCAAUAGUCGCGCCGUGAGUAUCGUUUAUGAAAGCUUGCCAUCGACUCAUAAGAUGUUGUUCCCGACCAUAGCAGUUUGUGAUAUGUACAAUAAGUUUGUCGCACCUCCGGAGCUAAUAGAUUACGUAACGUCACUUGGAUCUCCAGAUGAGGAGUACAGCUAUGACGUAGAGACAUUCAUAAAUUUCCUUGUGUAUCCCUAUUUCUAUCGAGAGGAUAACAUUAAAGGUUGGUGCUCUG